Molecule: long non-coding RNA, 643 nt
Organism: Carassius gibelio (silver crucian carp)
Lineage: Eukaryota; Metazoa; Chordata; Actinopteri; Cypriniformes; Cyprinidae
Exons: 4
Source: RefSeq, a predicted model, not a curated record
AGGCAAAAGAUGUCCAAUCAAUACAUGGCGACAUAUGUUCUGAAAUGGAAUCUCAGGAACCAGCCAAUUCAGAAAAUUUUGAGGUACUUCCAGAAACUGAACAUGAGCAAUACACAGAUUCAGCAGAGAUUGAAGAUGUGAAUGAAUAUCCAGAAGCUGAACCAGAGGAAAGCAAUAAUUCUUUUGACCAUGAGAGGACUAACAGUUCAGAUGAGGAAUCUGAGGUGUGUAGAAUGAAGUGUUUACCCAGAAAUUAAAUAUCUAUUAUUCAACCUCAUAUUGUUCAUUUUUAUCAUCAAUGGAACACAAAAGGAUAUUACAAAAAGAUUAUCAAGUUUACAAGAGCUUGCUCUAUUUAAUUAAUUUAGUUAGUUAUUCAGAUUAAUGCUUCUUUCUGUCAUAUGAUUGAAGCUACAGUGACAUUGAGCUCUCAAGUAUGAGUUCCAAAAAUUGAAUGAUAAGUUUUCCAUUUGACAUUAAAAAAUUUUGUUGCUGGCCAACAUCUCAGGAAAUUAUAAAGUUUACGUGAUUUUUGACAAACUGAAAAAAUAAUCUCAUUUUGAUGUUAAUUUUGCACUGUAAUAUUUUGGGCUAAGUGUAGUAUAUGCUGUAUAUUAAUAACAAAGCAGUUAUCUCAAAUGAA